AGAAUCAACGCUGGCGGCGUGCCUAACACAUGCAAGUCGCACGAGAAAGGGACUUCGGUCCUGAGUACAGUGGCGCACGGGUGAGUAACACGUGAAUAAUCUACCUCCGAGUGGGGAAUAACUGAGAGAAAUCUUAGCUAAUACCCGCAUAACACUUACGAGUCAAAGCAGCAAUGCGCUUGGAGAGGAGUUCGCGGCAGAUUAGUUAGUUGGCGGGGUAAUGGCCCACCAAGACGAUGAUCUGUA
Molecule: ribosomal RNA, 246 nt
Filed under: uncultured bacterium
Lineage: Bacteria
Description: partial small subunit ribosomal RNA
Rfam family: Bacterial small subunit ribosomal RNA
Source: RNAcentral